This 766-nucleotide long non-coding RNA is filed under the name Dermacentor andersoni. RNAcentral's name for it is "uncharacterized LOC126544302". The record is from RNAcentral. Lineage: Eukaryota; Metazoa; Arthropoda; Arachnida; Ixodida; Ixodidae.
ACCCCCUCCGCAUCUGCCGCCUACAUCACUCGGUCCGGUACUGUUUUAAGCACUGCCUGUACGACGUGAAACCGGGCAUGAAUAUAACCUGUAUUCGCGGCCUCAUGCAUUGCCUUUGUCCGCAUCUGAGCAUUGGGGGUCUGGCACGCAGCACCGGGAGAUUUCAACCUCUGGGGCAUCGCCACUGGGGCUAGGUCGGUUGAAGUGGUCGUCUUCGUACCAGAGGAGAAGAAUGGUCUGCUGGAUUCAUGCUACGGCACGCUGUCGGGUCCAGACCAAGAACGACACUUCAGUUGCGAUGACCACGGAGGGAAGUCAUCCACGGUCACGUUGAAGGGGCUCGAACCGGCGACAGAGUACAACUGCACCGUCACAUUCGUCAACGAGCUGGACGACUGUGACGAAGCAGCCACAACAAAGUCUAUCGUAAUAAAGACGCAGGCUGAACCGACGGAACCAGAUCCAAGCUGCACCACUAGGCCCAACCAAGCUGAAGCCGCUGCUGGCAUGGUUUUUUUACCGACGCCUAAAGUGGUCAUUCUCUCCAUGUCUUCACUUGUCGUUCUGUUGCAGCGACACUUCAACAACUAUUGUAUGAACCGCGGUUGAGAUUGAACAGCCGUUUCAGAAAUACCCACCCAAUAUAGGUUGAAAACUAAGCAAAUUACGCACAAUGGGUGUGCAAGACGCUCAAGAAGGUAACAUAUGUGAUUCAUUUUGUUACAAAAUAAGUGGCCUACAGUAUAAUCAGUACUUGUUUUUUGUA